RNAcentral lists this unclassified non-coding RNA (395 nucleotides) under soil metagenome. RNAcentral describes it as "partial contains 5.8S ribosomal RNA, internal transcribed spacer 2, and large subunit ribosomal RNA". The stretch from base 1 to 122 matches the Rfam family "5.8S ribosomal RNA", at positions 35 to 154 of the family's 154-position model. The record is from RNAcentral.
GAUGAAGAACGUAGCGAAAUGCGAUACUUGGUGUGAAUUGCAGAAACCCGUGAACCAUCGAGUCUUUGAACGCAAGUUGCGCCCGAAGCCAUCAGGUUGAGGGCACGUCUGCCUGGGCGUCACAUAUCGUUGCCCAAUGCCUAUUGCAGUGCAAUAGGAAUUUCUAGGGCGAAUGAUGGCUUCCCGUGAGCGUUGUUGCCUCGCGGUUGGUUGAAAAUCGAGUCCUUGGUAGGGUGUGCCAUGGUAGAUGGUGGUCGAGUUAGAACGAUACCGAUCAUGUGCAUGCUCCCCAAAAUAUGGCCUCUAUGACCCACACGCGUCUUUUGACGCUCAUGACGAGACCUCAGGUCAGGCGGGGCUACCCGCUGAAUUUAAGCAUAUCAAUAAGCGGAGGA